UACCAGCACCCCGAGUGGUCGGGACGUUUAUUGGGCCUAAAGCCUCCGUAGCCGGUUCUACAAGUCUUCCGUUAAAUCCACCUGCUUAACAGAUGGGCUGCGGAAGAUACUAUAGAGCUAGGAGGCGGGAGAGGCAAGCGGUACUCGAUGGGUAGGGGUAAAAUCCGUUGAUCCAUUGAAGACCACCAGUGGCGAAGGUGGCUUGCCAGAACGCACUCGACGGUGAGGGAUGAAAGCUGGGGGAGCAAACCGG
This 253-nucleotide ribosomal RNA is filed under the name uncultured bacterium. Its description in RNAcentral is "partial 16S ribosomal RNA". It matches the Rfam family "Archaeal small subunit ribosomal RNA", at positions 474 to 727 of the family's 1478-position model. The record is from RNAcentral.